Molecule: long non-coding RNA, 1282 nt
Organism: Myotis myotis
Lineage: Eukaryota; Metazoa; Chordata; Mammalia; Chiroptera; Vespertilionidae
Exons: 2
Source: RefSeq, a predicted model, not a curated record
GCUCCCCUCACCCCCCCACACAUACAGAACUGUCCUGAAUGCUCCCUUGGGACAAUCUCAGAUGCCAAGGUUCUAACUCAAAAGUCACGAGUGUGUUUGGAAAUCCAAAGCAGCAGGAACUGGUAAAGUGAUGGGGAGGAGUGGUCAGGCCAGAGUGAAGGCACCGUCAUCCCCAAGUCCCGCCAUGCCAAGAGCGUGGCUACCAGCCCCAGGGAUGAGUAAAACCUAAAAUUUGAGGAAGAACAGUUGGAUCCUAUUGUAACUAGGGACUAAUUAGGACACCCCAAUCCUAGGCUACCUAGUGGCCUUGGGCAGGUAUAAAAGGUGGACAGGCUCAAAGCAUACCAUACCACUUGGCACUGCCACACUUCAGAAGCUCCGGUGAACUUGGUUGCAUAUCCAGCCCAGAAUGUCUCAGCAGAAGCAGAAGCAGUGCUUCCCCCCGAUUCAGCAGUGCUGCCCCCCACCCAAGCAGUGCUGCCCCCCACCCAUCCAGUGCUGCCCCCCACCCAUCCAGUGCUGCCCUCCGCCUCAGCAGUGCUGCCCCCCACCCAUCCAGUGCUGCCCCCCACCCAUCCAGUGCUGCCCUCCGCCUCAGCAGUGCUGCCCCCCACCUCAGCAGUGCUGCCCUCCACCCAAGCAGUGCUGUCCCCCACCCAAGCAGUGCUGCCCUCCACCUCAGCAGUGCUGCCCCCCACCCAAGCAAUGCUGCCCCCCACCCAAGCAGUGCUGCCCCCCACCCAUCCAGUGCUGCCCCCCACCCAAGCAGUGCUGCCCUCCACCUCAGCAGUGCUGCCCUCCACCUCAGCAGUGCUGCCCCCCACCCAAGCAGUGCUGCCCCCCACCCAAACAGUGCUGCCCCCCACCCAAGCAGUGCUGCCCCCCACCCAAGCAGUGCUGACUCCCACCACAGCAGUGCCAGAUGUACAGGGAGAAAUAAGCCUGGACAUGUGACCAGAGGCCAAGACCCAGGAAAAGCAGAGAGUAAGAAGUCAACCCCUUCCUUCCAAAAGCCAGAUGCCAGCCACACUCACCCUCACCAGGGAGAAGGCAGCACCAGGAUGGCAGCUUCCUCCAUCUCUACCACUUAUUAACUGGCAGCUGCAAUUUCCAUAUCAGACAAGAUCUGGUCCUAAACUGUCUAAUCAUCUUUGCUGACAUGUACCUACAUCGCCCUGUCGGCUUCUUGGAAACCUGGCUAGCCUGCCCGGACACCCUCCCCUCAGACUCUACCAUCUGCUCCUGUUUUCCAAACAAUUAAAUACAAUUCCUCUGGCACUAA